Molecule: long non-coding RNA, 392 nt
Organism: Populus euphratica (Euphrates poplar)
Lineage: Eukaryota; Viridiplantae; Streptophyta; Magnoliopsida; Malpighiales; Salicaceae
Exons: 3
Source: RefSeq, a predicted model, not a curated record
UCAGAACUGUUUGUGAUUAUAUGAAUCUCCACUUCAAUGGAUAAACAUAAGUUCCUGUCACAAUGACAGCAAGUUUUCUAAGGAUUCUUCUCCUAGCUCUGUCCUUCAUUGCUUUAAUGCCACAGAAAUCAGAGGGUCAAUUGGGCCAGUGGAAAGGGAGGUGCGGAUUGCAGCAAGAUACAAAGGAAGCAACCCUGUUAUCUGCCAAGCACAGCAAGGGAUCAUGCCUCUUAUGCCUUCGAUAACUAUUAUCAGAAGUUUAAGCAUGAAGGAGCAACUUGUUACUUCAAUGCUGCUGCUCUCAGCACUGAUCUUGAUCCAAAGAUAGUGUCGAUGCUUGUUGCCUUCGAGUCAUGUCCCACAUUGAUCUUCUUGUAGCUGAGGAAAGCAAU